GACGAACGCUGGCGGCGUGCCUAAUACAUGCAAGUAGAACGCUGAAGAGAGGAGCUUGCUCUUCUUGGAUGAGUUGCGAACGGGUGAGUAACGCGUAGGUAACCUGCCUUGUAGCGGGGGAUAACUAUUGGAAACGAUAGCUAAUACCGCAUAACAAUGGAUGACACAUGUCAUUUAUUUGAAAGGGGCAAUUGUUCCACUACAAGAUGGACCUGCGUUGUAUUAGCUAGUAGGUGAGGUAAUGGCUCACCUAGGCGACGAUACAUAGCCGACCUGAGAGGGUGAUCGGCCACACGGGGACUGAGACACGGCCCAGACUCCUACGGGAGGCAGCAGUAGGGAAUCUUCGGCAAUGGGGGCAACCCUGACCGAGCAACGCCGCGUGAGUGAAGAAGGUUUUCGGAUCGUAAAGCUCUGUUGUAAGUCAAGAACGGGUGUGAGAGUGGAAAGUUCACACUGUGACGGUAGCUUACCAGAAAGGGACGGCUAACUACGUG
This 497-nucleotide ribosomal RNA is filed under the name uncultured bacterium. RNAcentral describes it as "partial 16S ribosomal RNA". It matches the Rfam family "Bacterial small subunit ribosomal RNA", at positions 28 to 507 of the family's 1533-position model. The record is from RNAcentral.